UCUGGGAAAUGAUGGUAUAAAUUCAAACAGAGGCGAUAGCUUUGCUGAAUUAAUUGUAUUUGCACGUCAGUCUGAUCCCAAU
This 82-nucleotide small nucleolar RNA is filed under the name Lupinus angustifolius (narrow-leaved blue lupine). Its description in RNAcentral is "snoRNA snoZ122". It matches the Rfam family "Small nucleolar RNA Z122". From Rfam's summary of the family: Z122 is a member of the C/D class of snoRNA which contain the C (UGAUGA) and D (CUGA) box motifs. Most of the members of the box C/D family function in directing site-specific 2'-O-methylation of substrate RNAs. Lineage: Eukaryota; Viridiplantae; Streptophyta; Magnoliopsida; Fabales; Fabaceae. The record is from Rfam by way of RNAcentral.